Molecule: long non-coding RNA, 1970 nt
Filed under: Lytechinus variegatus (green sea urchin)
Lineage: Eukaryota; Metazoa; Echinodermata; Echinoidea; Temnopleuroida; Toxopneustidae
Description: uncharacterized LOC121416483
Source: RNAcentral
AUGAAAAAUUUACCUUUUUUUUAAUUUGACCAUUGUUUCACAGAAUUACAUCGGCAUCAGAGGUACCAUAAGUGUAGGUCUCUAUGGAUUAUCUCCAUCUUCUUCACAACCUUAAAUUACUAAGAGCUACCUUUCCAAAGACAUUGUGGGCUACGCGAUGCUAAAAAUCCAUUGAAAUCGUACAAGGAUGGGCCAUCUCAAGAUCAGUAUCGACUGUCAAAAGAUACUGUCAUCAAUAUGCUGGAAGCCGAAAUGAAGAGGAACACACAGAGGAUUGAUCAACUUCCUGUUUAUUUGCAGGUGUUGACAACUCUCCAUUUUUAUGCAGUGGGAUCAUUUUAAAAGAUGCAUGGUGAUGAGGCAGCAAUAUCGCAGUCAUCAAUGUGUCGGAAGCUAUAGCAAGAAGGAAGAGGCAAUACAUGAAGAUUCCUACGACAAGAGAAGAAGUUGAAACAACUCAGAGACAGUUCUAUUUAACUGUUAGAUUUCCAGGAGUGAAAGGUGCAAUUGAUGAUUGAUGGGACACAUGUCUACAUCAAGAGCCGGGGGGGGGGGAUUGGGCCAUGCAUGUAUGCUUCCUAUAUACACCUUCCAACUUCAAGUGGAGAGGAAUGCCUAUAACAAUGGCAAAAGAAUUAAGAACAUAGAAACACAGAGUUCAUUCAAAUUUAUGAAGAAUACUUUACUUGUUUAUUUGUUAAUGAAUUAAUUGGUAUAACCCUGUGAUUCCAGCAGCUUAGCUUCAGCAACCUCUCUUUCUUUAUUGAAAACGUCAAUUCGUAGUUCAUGCUCCUUCAAGAUCAUAUCGUGCUCUUUCAAUCUCAUUUCAUGCUCUUUCAAUUUCAGAUCGUGUUCUUUCACUCUCCUCUUGUACUCUUUAUAAAGUCGAGAUCAUGUUUCUUCCAUUGAACUUCAAUUCUAACGGCAUGCACUUCUACCAGCUCAAACUCUUCUGACAGAUGAUUCUUUUUCCCGUGAGAUGGGUGAUUCAAAUUCCAUUUUGUAGAACGAUGGUUUGUGGUAUUGCUGCAGGGUUAAAAUUCAAUAUUGAAAUGCAUUUAAGUACAUAACAUAUAGUAACAGGGCAGUUGUGAAACACAUAAUAUGAAUCAGGUUGUCAAAGAUGAAUGUUGUUUAACCUACUGGUAACUCUCUACUUGAUAGGAUCAGCUUCUGACACCGAUGUACAUUGGUUUGUUUUCUGAUUGUUCUUGGAACCAUGAAUUGAAUUUUGAAAACAUUAAAGACUUUAUUAUCAAAAAUUAUUUAAAACAGACAACAAUGCAAUGCAUUCUUUUCAGAAGUAUACAAUAUUCAGUGCACAGUUUAUUGAAUUGCUUGAAUCUGGUAACAUACAUAUAUUGAAGCCCUUUUCAUACUUCAAAUGAUUCACUCCCAGUUCAGUUUUAUAAAUCCCUCUUCACCUCUAAAUACCUUACUUCAUAUCUGUAGUAUAUUCAGAUUAUUUGGUGUGUACCAGUGUAUUGUGCAUCCAAUUAACAUGAUCUUGUAAUUACAUAUACAUGUACUUGAUUUGGGGAUCGUGUUUAAUUUGUUACAGUAUUUAACAUCUUUUUCAACUACAUCUGAUUUAUGAGUCUGGCCAACGAGAUAUUCUGACAGAAAGGGUGAAUGGAAAAAGGAAAAAAAGGCAUUGUAAUUUUAAUGAUACUAAAUUACAUUGAAGAGGACUGCGAUUUGGAAGAAGUGCUAUCAGUACGGGAAUGUUUCCUUGAUACCUCAGACAGAAAUGAAUUUGUCCUCGUGGUGAAAGAAAUGAACUUCUGUUCUUUUGCAGGUUUAUGAAUUUCAGCAAUGUGUCACAUUCAUCUCAGUUGGGAGGGUUUUAUUAUUUUUGAAGAAAAGUGAUGAAUACUCUUGAUAAUGUAAUUAUUUUAUGAUUUGGGAAGUAUUUUGAGAGGUCCACUAUGUGAGAUAGCUGUUAUUCAAAAUAGCUUAAACUUGACAUG